UUAUUUUGUAAAGAAACCGGAAGUAGUGCUCCAUAACGCUCACUCUCGCUUAACAUCGCUAAUACGGACCGAGCACAUGCUUCUGCUUUCUCCCGUGUGGGUAUAAAACGAGGGAAAAAGAAUGUCCGAGAACCAUCAAGGAAGCAUGUAACUUGUCCUGGCUUCUCUGGUGGAAAAAAAACUCCUUCCUUGGUCAGGUCUUUUUGCGAUGUCCAAAAGACUUCUGAAGAUCCGGUCCUCCAACAAGGUGUGGGCCAGAGAUCCAUUUGAUGGCGAGCCUCCCAUGACAAAUUGUGAAGUCAACCACCACAGCUCUCAACAAUCGGAUCCCGUGGUAGGAUAGUGCCAAUCUUGCUGAAAGGCACCAACAAGAUCUCAAUCCGGAUAUUUACCCAAUAUCCAUGACUUUUGACUAUUCCCCCUGACUUUAUAACUGAACUGAUCUUGGAUCUAUAAAGAACAUUUUCCGCAAGGAACUAAUUGGAAAACAAAAGGACUGUUUGAAAGAGACAAUUUAUUUUAUUUUAUUUUUUAUUUUUAUUUUAUUUUUGGGCCCAGGUUAUGUGCGCACCAUUUCAUGUUGUAAACUGUUGCCAUGUUUGUAAACCAAAUAUUUUCUAAACCAAAAGAAAAAAACUAAAGUUUACAAUUUUCACAAAUUUAAA
This is a long non-coding RNA of Acanthochromis polyacanthus (spiny chromis), 665 nucleotides long. RefSeq lists it as uncharacterized. The record is from RefSeq and is a predicted model, not a curated record. NCBI's taxonomy places the organism in Eukaryota, Metazoa, Chordata, Actinopteri, Pomacentridae. The transcript is spliced from 3 exons.